CCUACGGGUGGCAGCAGUGGGGAAUAUUGGGCAAUGGGCGCAAGCCUGACCCAGCAAUGCCGCGUGAAGGAAGAAGGCUUUCGGGUUGUAAACUUCUUUGACAGGGGAAGAGCAGAAGACGGUACCCGGAGAAAAAGCAUCGGCUAACUCCGUGCCAGCAGCCGCGGUAAUACGGAGGAUGCGAGCGUUAGCCGGAUUUAUUGGGUUUAAAGGGUGCGUAGGCGGAUCGUUAAGUCAGUGGUCAAGUUGAGGGGCUAAACCCCAUCCCGCCAGUGAAACUGGCGCUCUUGAGUGGAAGAGAAGUAUGCGGAAUGCGUGGUGUAGCGGUGAAAUGCAUAGAUAUCACGCAGAACCCCUAUUGCGAAGGCAGCAUGACGGCUUCCGACUGACGCUGCCGCACGAAAGCGUGGGGAUCGAACAGGAUUAGAUACCCCAGUAGUC
This 441-nucleotide ribosomal RNA is filed under the name uncultured bacterium. Its description in RNAcentral is "partial 16S ribosomal RNA". It matches the Rfam family "Bacterial small subunit ribosomal RNA", at positions 338 to 795 of the family's 1533-position model. The record is from RNAcentral.